This 298-nucleotide long non-coding RNA is filed under the name Malus domestica (apple). Its description in RNAcentral is "long non-coding RNA (MDOM_LNC005964)". Lineage: Eukaryota; Viridiplantae; Streptophyta; Magnoliopsida; Rosales; Rosaceae. The record is from RNAcentral.
CUAAUUAGAUGCCUUGAGUUCAGUUUUGGUAGUUGUAUGACAUAGGUUGAUUGUUGGAAUCUAAAUUCUCUACGUUACGUUAAUAGAUCAUUGUAUGAAUCAAUGAUCCGACCGUUGGAUCGUCACCAAACUUUAAUACGUUAUAGUACGUACUAUUUCAGGACCAUAGGAACUUACGGAUUGGGAAUCGGAUAUACGGAUCUUCCCAAAAUUUGAUUUGUAAGUUCAUAAAAUAAAAGGUUAACCGCCACUUGGUUUUGACAAUUGGCAGAGAUCUGACCGUUGGAUCGUAAUGGGA